GUGGUGGCAAGCGUUGUCCGGAAUUAUUGGGCGUAAAGCGCGCGCAGGCGGUUCUUUAAGUCUGAUGUGAAAGCCCACGGCUCAACCGUGGAGGGUCAUUGGAAACUGGAGAACUUGAGUACAGAAGAGGAAAGCGGAAUUCCACGUGUAGCGGUGAAAUGCGUAGAGAUGUGGAGGAACACCAGUGGCGAAGGCGGCUUUCUGGUCUGUAACUGACGCUGAGGCGCGAAAGCGUGGGGAGCAAACAGGAUUAGAUACCCUGGUAGUCCACGCCGUAAACGAUGAGUGCUAAGUGUUAGGGGGUUUCCGCCCCCCUUAGUGCUGCAGCUAACGCAUUAAGCACUCCGCCUGGGAGUACGGCCGCAAGGCUG
This 371-nucleotide ribosomal RNA is filed under the name uncultured organism. RNAcentral's name for it is "partial 16S ribosomal RNA". It matches the Rfam family "Bacterial small subunit ribosomal RNA", at positions 528 to 896 of the family's 1533-position model. The record is from RNAcentral.